This is a ribosomal RNA of Desulfobacca acetoxidans DSM 11109, 117 nucleotides long. The record is from Rfam. NCBI's taxonomy places the organism in Bacteria, Pseudomonadati, Thermodesulfobacteriota, Desulfobaccia, Desulfobaccales, Desulfobaccaceae.
UUCGGUGGCCAUACCACGGGGGUCACACCCGAUCCCAUCCCGAACUCGGAAGUUAAGCCCCGUCGGGCCGAUGAUACUACGUGGGCAGCUGCGUGGGAAAGUAGGACGCCGCCGAAA